Molecule: long non-coding RNA, 525 nt
Filed under: Trifolium pratense (red clover)
Lineage: Eukaryota; Viridiplantae; Streptophyta; Magnoliopsida; Fabales; Fabaceae
Description: long non-coding RNA (TPRA_LNC003718)
Source: RNAcentral
CUAUUUAUUACAUUAAAAGAAGGAAAAAUAUGGCUGCAAUUCUCAAGUUUAUAUAUGCAAUGUUCCUAUUUAUUUCUUUAUUCCUUUUUGCAACGAACAUUGACGGUAAGCUAUUUUUUUACCCUUCAAAUUUCCUUCUAUACUUCUUAUUUGUACACAAUGUUUUGUAUACAUUUAGUAAUAUUAUUUUAUUCUAUUUUUUUAUAGCUGCACUUGUUGAAUGUCGUUCUGAUAAAGAAUGUCAAAAUAUGGUUGCUCCUCAUUGUGUUAUGAAGUGUAUUAAUAAUCGGUGUAAAUGUUUCAUAUGAUACCAUGAGUACAAAUCUAAGAGACUACACAAUUGCCUUGAAUUGAUGAAUAAGUUAUCAAGCUAGCAAAAGACCUAUAUGCAAUAUCCCUUCUCUACUAUAUUCUAUCGUGUUGUCAUUUAAAUAUUAUGGUGCUACCAAGUAAAUGUAUUUUAUAUUUAUUUAAUUUUUUCUAUUUUUCAUGAACCUUGCAAUUAGUUUUUGUACUAUGACAAUU